CCUACGGGUGGCAGCAGUGGGGAAUAUUGCACAAUGGGGGAAACCCUGAUGCAGCGACGCAGCGUGAGCGAAGAAGUAUUUCGGUAUGUAAAGCUCUAUCAGCAGGAACGAGACAAGACGGUACCUGACUAAGAAGCCCCGGCUAACUACGUGCCAGCAGCCGCGGUAAUACGUAGGGGGCAAGCGUUAUCCGGAAUCACUGGGUGGAAAGGGAGCGUAGACGGCUGAGCAAGCCUGAAGUGAAAGGCGGGGGCCCAACCCCCGGACUGCUUGGGGAACUGUACGGCUGGAGUGCAGGAGAGGUAAGUGGAAUUCCUAGUGUAGCGGUGAAAUGCGUAGAUAUUAGGAGGAACACCAGUGGCGAAGGCGGCUUACUGGACUGUAACUGACGUUGAGGCUCGAAAGCGUGGGGAGCAAACAGGAUUAGAUACCCUAGUAGUC
RNAcentral lists this ribosomal RNA (441 nucleotides) under uncultured bacterium. Its description in RNAcentral is "partial 16S ribosomal RNA". It matches the Rfam family "Bacterial small subunit ribosomal RNA", at positions 338 to 795 of the family's 1533-position model. The record is from RNAcentral.